CAGACAACAGAUGUUGACAGCCAAACCAGAAAGGAUUGGGACCACAAUAUUAUGGAAAGGGCAUGUCGCCUUGGAUUUUCUGAAAUUCAUUCUCUGGUGAGAUUUCAUUUUGGAAGCAGAAAAGAGUUGAUAGCACUCACCAGUUUCCACCUUGGAAUGGUCUAAGCGGUCAAUGACCUUCUCCUGGCGGAUGAGAUAAUCUACAAUCUGCACCCCAAUUGGCGGCUCU
Anolis carolinensis (green anole) is the source of this 229-nucleotide long non-coding RNA. RefSeq lists it as uncharacterized. The transcript has 3 exons. The record is from RefSeq and is a predicted model, not a curated record. Lineage: Eukaryota; Metazoa; Chordata; Lepidosauria; Squamata; Anolidae.